RNAcentral lists this ribosomal RNA (289 nucleotides) under uncultured Pseudomonadota bacterium. Its description in RNAcentral is "uncultured proteobacterium partial 16S ribosomal RNA". Lineage: Bacteria; Pseudomonadati; Pseudomonadota. The record is from RNAcentral.
CUACUGGGGUUUCUAAUCCUGUUUGCUCCCCACGCUUUCGCGCCUCAGCGUCAAUGUUUGGCCAGGCAGGCGCCUUCGCCUCUGGUGUUCCACCUAAUCUCUACGAAUUUCACUUCUCCACUAGGUAUUCCCCCACCCUCUCCAACAUUCAAGUCUCGCAGUUUCGGCUGCAGUUCCUAGGUUGAGCCCAGGGCUUUCACAAUCGACAUACGAGACCGCCUACGCGCGCUUUACGCCCAGUGAUUCCGAGUAACGCUUGCACCUUUCGUAUUACCGCGGCUGCUGGCAC